RNAcentral lists this ribosomal RNA (468 nucleotides) under uncultured bacterium. RNAcentral's name for it is "partial 16S ribosomal RNA". It matches the Rfam family "Bacterial small subunit ribosomal RNA", at positions 28 to 507 of the family's 1533-position model. The record is from RNAcentral.
GACGAACGCUGGCGGCGUGCUUAACACAUGCAAGUCGAACGGAAAGGCCCUGCUUUUGUGGGGUGCUCGAGUGGCGAACGGGUGAGUAACACGUGAGUAACCUGCCCUUGACCUUGGGAUAACUUCAGGAAACUGGGGCUAAUACCGGCUAGGAUCUCCUGCUGCAUGGUGGGGGUUGGAAAGUUUCGGCGGUUGGGGAUGGACUCGCGGCUUAUCAGAUUGUUGGUGGGGUAGUGUCUUACCAAGGCCUUGACGGGUAGCAGGCCUGAGCGGGGCACCGGCCAAAUUGGGACGGGGAUACGGCCCAGACUCCUACGGGAGGCAGCAGUGGGGAAUAUUGCACAAUGGGCGGAAGCCUGAUGCAGCAACGCCGCGUGCGGGAUGACGGCCUUCGGGUUGUAAACCGCUUUCGCCUGUGACGAAGCGUGAGUGACGGUAAUGGGUAAAGAAGCACCGGCUAACUACGUG